RNAcentral lists this ribosomal RNA (305 nucleotides) under uncultured bacterium. Its description in RNAcentral is "bacterial SSU rRNA". It matches the Rfam family "Bacterial small subunit ribosomal RNA", at positions 333 to 652 of the family's 1533-position model. The record is from RNAcentral.
CCGGUCCUACGGGGCGCAGCAGUCGAGAAUCAUUCACAAUGGGGGAAACCCUGAUCCAGCGACGCCGCGUGAGUGAAGAAGUAUUUCGGUAUGUAAAGCUCUGUCAGCAGGGAAGAAAGAAAUGACGGUACCUGACCAAGAAGCCCCGGCUAACUACGUGCCAGCAGCCGCGGUAAUACGUAGGGGGCAAGCGUUAUCCGGAAUUACUGGGUGUAAAGGGAGCGUAGACGGUGAUGCAAGUCUGGAGUGAAAGGCGGGGGCCCAACCCCCGGACUGCUCUGGAAACUGUGUAACUUGAGUGCAGG